AUACUUACCUAGACGGGGUCAAUGGGCGAUCCAUAAGACCCAUGGCCUAGUUUGGCUAACCUCCAUUGCACUUUGGUGGGGCGCCCGACUAAGGUCAGCCCAAGUGGUCGACCCUGCGUCAUAAUUUAUGUUAGUGGGGGCUUGCGUUCGCGCGGCCCCUAU
This is a small nuclear RNA of Salvia splendens (bonfire salvia), 162 nucleotides long. RefSeq annotates it as U1 spliceosomal RNA. The record is from RefSeq and is a predicted model, not a curated record. The transcript has a single exon. NCBI's taxonomy places the organism in Eukaryota, Viridiplantae, Streptophyta, Magnoliopsida, Lamiales, Lamiaceae.